This is a long non-coding RNA of Meriones unguiculatus (Mongolian gerbil), 5386 nucleotides long. RefSeq lists it as uncharacterized. The transcript has 3 exons. NCBI's taxonomy places the organism in Eukaryota, Metazoa, Chordata, Mammalia, Rodentia, Muridae. The record is from RefSeq and is a predicted model, not a curated record.
CAGCAGGGCGGGGUCCUCGUCGUCGGAGCUGUAGGAGGAGUCCUCAUUGUCCGACGAGCAGAGGCUGGAGGUGGACAUGGAGCCUGAGGAGGAGGACGUGGACGAGCCGGAGGACGACGACGACAUGGAGAGGCGGAAGCACCUGCAAGGAGGCAUGUCCUGAGCGUGUGGCCAGCCCAGCUCACCAGAAGCCAUGUCAGGCCCGGGGGACAACAGGGGUGACAGGAGGAAAAGAGAGAUGUUUCGGGGCGCUUCUGCAGCCUGACCACGCCGGCAGUCCGGUAAGCCGGCAGUCCGGUAAGCCGGCACCGCUUGCCCUGGCUACCUGGUAUUAAAAGCCAGGGGUCCAGUGCACAGGAGUCCCGCCCUCCACACUGCCUGCGUUUCCUCCAACAGACGCCUGCCAUUCACCUUCAGACCUUCCCACGCCGAGGGCCCUACCCGUCCUGUCUCGGUGUGCUGGGAUGCGCCCACGACAGCUUUGGAGACCCAGGCACAGGGAUUCUGGGCCCUUUUCUUGCUGGGCCUGCUCUGAUUAGCUGGACACGGGAGGGGCCCAUCCCCCCCCUUUCUCAGGGACUCCUUGCCUCACUUAGAGCAGACGCAGGUCUGCCCUCCUCCAGGGCAGCUUGACUAUGGGUAGGAGGGACCCUCUCGGGAGCUUCGUGGCCACAGAGGGGCCUUGGCCCUCAUCCUGGCCAUGAGGAUACUGACCUCGAACCACAUUGCCUGGAUACAGACACCGAGACUUUGGACUCCAGUAGGCACAGACCCGAGUACCGGGUGGGAGGUACCGGCUGGACUGUGGCCGGACAUCAAGAACCUGCAGGGAGCAGCAGAGCAGAGCUGGUAACCAGCAGGUCUGGUUACACAUGCCUCAGUGUGCAGCCAGCCAAGUCCUCCUGGUGGUGGGGACGGCCACCAGGCUGGCUCCCCGCACAGGGCCCGCCUUACCGCCUCCUGCAGCAGCUGCUCCAGUGAGUAGAUCCUCUGCCGGUUGCCUCUCUCGCCCUCUAUGACGAUGCUGUAGCUGAGGGCAUUGUGGGGGAUAUGUCAGGCUCCUGGGGGAGCCUCACUGCCCCACGGGCCGCAGCCAGCAUGCACCCCUCCCUCCCGGGCCCCGGCCUCACAUAUCGGGGGGCUGCAGGGUCCUGACGCUGCCCGCGUACAGCAGACUGUCCUCCUUCGGGAUCAGCACAGGCAGUCCGUCCUGAAGGUCCUCCUUGUGGAUGGUGCAGGAACGCGCUGUGGGGGGCGGCCGUCAAGAGCUGGGCCCCAGGCCCACCCACCACCUCCCCAGGCAACCGUGUGUCCCCACUGCCGCUUACCCAGGGCGGCACUCUGCUCUGCGCUCAGCUGGACGCUGCCUUCCUCUUCUUCCUCUUCCUCGUCCGAGAAGCUGCUGUCGUCAAACUCAAAGUCCUCCUCUACAGCGAAGCUCUCCAGCAGCCGGCUCACGGCUCGGCCCUGGCCCUGGCUUCCUGCUCUUUCCCAGGAUGGCCUUGGCAUUGCGGGCUGACAGAGCGAUGGACAAGGCCCCAUUCUUCCUCUGGUCAAGAAGGAUGGACAGAGGACAGCAAUGAGGAUUGGAACAGCUUCCCUGGCCAGCGUGGGCUGUGACUUGGGGUUCAGAGUUGAGCGGUGAAGGAGGAGCAGUAUCACCCUCCUUGGGAUGCCCACUGACCGCUCUGACGCCCAGGAGACCCUGCUAGCCUACCCUCAGGACUGGCUGCAACAUGGCGCUCUUGCGUGUGGCUCUCUUGAGGCGCUCACUGGCAAGUUUGCUGCCUUCCUCUCGGCAGGAAAAGGUCCGGGUGGGGCUGAAAAGGGCAUCUCUGCUGGUGGCAGUCCCAGGCUCUGCUCGAAGGCUACUUUUCGCCUUGCCCUUGGCUUUCCUCUUGCCAGGAGCACCUGGAGGCCGCCGCCCUGGUGCCCGCUCCAGCUUGGGGCCCACCUUGCUUUUUACUGUCCGUCUCUUGAUCUUGACCUCGCCCUCAGGGCUGGACAGGCGGCAGGGUCCUGUAGGAGAGAGGGGGGUGGUCACUGGGACCCUGGUUAUAAAGGGCUGUGUUCAGGUGCCCUCUGGUUUCUUUGUUACCUAGCAAGCCCUGCCUCUCCUUUUUCUUCUUGGCCUUCUGGUUAGCUUCCAUCUUGACCACGGAGGAAGGGGAGGGUCCCAACACUGCCACACCAGCCCCUGGGUGCAACACCAGCCCAGGCUCCCUGGGAGCCACCUCUGUCCCCAGGAGUGCCUGGCAGUCCUCACUGUCAUAGCCGCUGCCUGUGGGGGACAGCAGAGGAGACGUGGUGACUGCUUUUGAACUUGGCUGUUUGGGGUGGACCUAGAGAACUCGGCCAGUGGGGACACUGUCUUCCUCUGGGCUGCUCAGGGGCAGGGGCAGGAACUGGCAGGGGAAGGGAACAGGACUUUCCUUCUUGCAGCCCCGACUUCCCUGGGGAGUCCCUCCCUCUGUGUCCUCUGGCCCAGCUGGCCCCCUGCUUCCUGUCCCCAAAGCACUGCUUCCCCUUGUCCUCACUCAGCCUCGACCCUAGAGGAGGGGCCAGGAGGGAGGAAGCCUCUAUUUUUCCAGGCUGUUUCUGGCCUGGUAGGGAGGAAAGCUCUCCGGACGCUGCAGGGCAGAGGUGGCGAGGGGCUAUUUUUAACGUGCUUCCCAGGUGUGUCCAGGGCUUCUUUCUGCCUCGGGAAGGGGGCUACUGAGCCCUGGCCUGGGGCAAAGUCUCCCUCCCCAGCCCUGCCCAACAGGAGGCUGUCCCUGGACUGCCGUUCCACAGGCUUCACCUGGAUCUGGGGGUAGCCGCUCCCUGUGUGCACCCCUCCUUCAGCCCCUGAGAUCACGACCCAGUCGCUCAUUACCAGCAACUUGCCUGCCUCAUGGGCCACAGCCACUGCUGGCUGGGCUUGGAACUUGGGCGUCUCCCUGCCACCGUCCGCAUCGGGGUGUGGAUGCCGAGCUGCCCCCGCCACUCUGCCACUCUUGGCCCUGGAGAGCUUCUUGCGGAUGCGCCCACCGGGGGCGGCCUCUUUGUGCUGGAAGGCACUGAGGCCGGUGGGCAGCCCCUGGCUCUUGACCUUUGGCUUCAACUGGGCCACCUUGUGGGCAGCUGAGGAAGACAGCUCGGCCUGGCCACUGUUCUUGCACCGCACCUUUCCCUGUGAAUGGAAGGCGGUGUCACCCUCAGGCACGGCCCCGGCCCCAGCCCCUGGCCUGUGGGUCUCCUCUAUCGAACGGCAGCCCUGGGGACAUUGCCUGAGCAGGGCCCUGGGGACAUCUUGGGAACAGGGCUGCCCACUGGAGCAAACACUGCGCCCACCAUCUAUCCAACCCCAAUUCACCUCUGGAAGUAGAAUGGGGACGGGGCUGAGGACCAGAAGGCCCUUUGCAUCAUAGGUAUUUGCUGACUGCUUCUGUGAAACGCACAGUUAAGAAGAGUUCUCUAGGUAGACUAGGCAGCCAGCACCCUGCCCAUGCCUGUAGCGCUCAGGAGGCAGAGAUGGGAGGGUGGCUGCAAGCUCAGGGGCAGCCUGACUCGCAGAGCAAGUUCUAGAUAGUCAGGGUACGGAGACUGAAACCACCACCACCAUCACCACCACCAAACCAUGCCAAAAACAAGCAAAAAUAAAAACAGCCUCUGCCAUGGAAGGAGACGGACUAGGUAACAAUAGGUCUAGGACCCUGAAGAGAGAAAAGUGGAAGGACCCAAGUUUCUAUGGUGUUCAGAGCCAGGCACUGUGGCCGUGGAUUCACUUCCGCAGCACACUGCUAUGUCUUCUUUCUGAGGUGUGUAUGUGUGUGCGCACACAGUGCAUCAGGGACCAGUGACAAGCCACACGCAGGGAAAUCUACUGUCAGUAUCCAGGGGCAACAGCCUCUGGUUACACUGGAUAGCUGUGCCAUCGCUUCCUUUAACCAAGGUAUCAGCAGCUCACCAAACCCCGUCGGCUCACCCAGCCUCGACCCCGGGAACCCCAAGGGUGGCAGCCUGGACACUCACCGCAGAGGCCGCCUGUAGGCCUGUGUAGGCACUCUUUUCCAGUUUGCUUCGCUUCCUUGUGGGCUCAUCGCCGCGUAGCUCCGCACACAGCAGACUCAGGCUGGCACGAACAGCCCUAGGGGAAAGCAGUGGUGGGUACGGUGGACACAGCAGCGGGGCCCGGGGCAGCCUGUGUGCAGGGCCCUCUUCAGCAGCAGGCCCUGGGUGUCCAGCCAGUCCUGGGCCUCCUGGUCAGGUCCCCUGCCUGCCGACUAGCACCAGCUCCUGGUGGUCCUUGGGGCCUUCCCCUGACUCAUCCAGCUUCACUAUUCCCCUGUCCGUCGUGAGCCAUCUCCUCUAGGCUGGCAGUUAGGUCAGGGGUCACUGUGCUAAAGCAGCUAGAGAGGAAACAGCAGGGGGUUCUGCCUGGCCUCCCACAGCUCUAGCCUCCCGUCAUGGGGACAGACAUGUCUCCCCGACAUCCCAAUGCCUGACUUCAUUUCCUUCCUAGCGCCCCCUCCCCAUGAGGAAACCAACAUUGCCUGUUUGCCCGAGGUGGGCCAGGGGCUGGGUUUGCCCUCCCACCUGUCAACCCCUUAGCCAACAGAGCACAGAAAGGAGCUGGCUGCUCAUGAAAAUGAGUGGCAGAUGGGGCCUGAGGGCCUGGCCCAGCUCUGACCUCGUGUGGCCAGAUACCACCUUCUAGCUUCCUGUCCAACGAUGCAGCUGGAUCUCUGAAGACAGAGAAGCCAGGCAGGAAGGCCCUGCCGCUCUGGGAGCCUCCCUGACCCCAGCUUCCUGCCACUGUGCCUGGCCUCCCACUUCCGGCAUGGAGGAGGCCCAGCCCUGAGGCCCAAGGCCUCCUGCCCCCAUGGGUUCCGGAACAUGGCUCAAGGGUGUGUCGGGACAGGACUGGAGGUGGGGGACUGUCAGGAGACCCACUUUUCGGAAAGAGGGGCCCUGGCUGUGGAUCCCUCCCCGCCCUCAGGCUGCUGGCUUCUCUGGGUCAUCGGUGAACCUGGCAGCAAGGUUAAGCUUACUUGCUGGGAUUUAGGCUAGAGUCCAGCAUGGGCAAUGUGGCCAGCGCUGGCAGGUCCAGAGAGGGGGAGGUUUGGGGGGCGUUUCCCUGCCCUCUGACAGGUUCUCCAACACCCUCCGUGGACCCCAGUAGCCCCCAGUAUCCUCGGCAUGCUCAGCAGCCCCCGGGCUUCGGACUGGUUCUCAAAGGAGCCCCCUGCUGGGUGAUACCUGGGUAGGGGGCCAGGACCUUGGUGAGCCCCCAGCCAUAUGGUGAACCCUCUCCCUUGCCUGCAGCCCACACAAACUCCCCCGCCCCAUAACCUUCUCUGCAUUUGCUAAUGUUUUGUGACAUAAAGCCCUGAGAUUAAUUUUU